Molecule: ribosomal RNA, 583 nt
Filed under: uncultured bacterium
Lineage: Bacteria
Description: bacterial SSU rRNA
Rfam family: Bacterial small subunit ribosomal RNA
Source: RNAcentral
AGAGUUUGAUCCUGGCUCAGAACGAACACUGGCGGCGUGCUUAAUACAUGCAAGUCGAACGGGAACGCAUCAUUCGUGGUGUUAGUAUAGUGGCGAACGGGUGAGUAACGCGUAAACAAUCUGCCUUUCAGUUGGGGAUAACCUCGCUAACGCGGGGAUAAUACCGAAUGGCAUUAUCUUAUUGCAUAAUAGGGUGAUAAAAGGGGCCUCGGUCUCGCUGGAAGAUGAGUUUGCGUUCUAUUAGUUAGUUGGUGAGGUAAUGGCUCACCAAGACGAUGAUAGAUAGCCGGCCUGAGAGGGUGAUCGGCCACAUUGGGACUGAGAUACGGCCCAGACUCCUACGGGAGGCAGCAGUAGGGAAUUUUGCGCAAUGGACGAAAGUCUGACGCAGCAACGCCGUGCGAGUGAUGAAGGUCUUAGGAUUGUAAAGCUCUGUCAGUAGGGAAGAAAGUGCUAGGGUAAUGCCUAUGUAUUGACGGUACCUACAGAGGAAGCUCCGGCUAACUCCGUGCCAGCAGCCGCGGUAAUACGGGGGGAGCUAGUGUUGUUCGGAUUUAUUGGGCGUAAAGAGAACGUAGGCGGA